This 489-nucleotide ribosomal RNA is filed under the name uncultured organism. RNAcentral's name for it is "SSU rRNA". It matches the Rfam family "Bacterial small subunit ribosomal RNA", at positions 1 to 509 of the family's 1533-position model. The record is from RNAcentral.
UGAGUUUAGAUCCUGGCUCAGGACGAACGCUGGCGGCGUGCCUAACACAUGCAAGUCGAACGGGGUUUAUGCCUUCGGGUGUAGACCUAGUGGCGGACGGGUGAGUAACGCGUGAGCGACCUGCCUUACAGAGGGGGAUAACACUUGGAAACAGGUGCUAAAACCGCAUAAGACCACAGCCCUGCAUGGGGGAGUGGUAAAAUGAGCAAUCAGCUGUAAGAGGGGCUCGCGUCUCAUUAGAUAGUUGGCGGGAUAACAGCCCACCAAGUCAACGAUGAGUAGCCGGCCUGAGAGGGUGAACGGCCACACUGGGACUGAGACACGGCCCAGACUCCUACGGGAGGCAGCAGUGGGGAAUAUUGGGCAAUGGGGGGAACCCUGACCCAGCGACGCCGCGUGAGGGAAGAAGGUUUUCGGAUUGUAAACCUCUGUACUGCGGGACGAGGAGAAGACGGUACCGCAGAAGGAAGCCCCGGCUAACUACGUGCC